GACGCUGAGGCGCGAAAGUGUGGGGAGCAAACAGGAUUAGAUACCCUGGUAGUCCACACUGUAAACGAUGAAUGCUAGGUGUAGGGGGUAUCGACCCCUUCUGUGCCGCAGUAAACACAAUAAGCAUUCCGCCUGGGGAGUACGGCCGCAAGGUUGAAACUCAAAGGAAUUGACGGGGGCCCGCACAAGCAGCGGAGCAUGUGGUUUAAUUCGACGCAACGCGAAGAACCUUACCAGGUCUUGACAUCCAGUAAAAGCCAUAGAGAUAUGGUGUGUCUUCGGACAUACUGAGACAGGUGGUGCAUGGUUGUCGUCAGCUCGUGUCGUGAGAUGUUGGGUUAAGUCCCGCAACGAGCGCAACCCUUGCUGAUAGUUACUAACAGGUAAAGCUGAGGACUCUAUUAGGACUGCCGGGGACAACUCGGAGGAAGGUGGGGACGACGUCAAAUCAUCAUGCCCCUUAUGACCUGGGCUACACACGUGCUACAAUGGCCGUUACAAAGAGGUGCAAAGCCGUAAGGUGGAGCAGAUCUCAAAAAAGCGGUCUCAGUUCGGAUUGUGGGCUGCAACCCGCCCACAUGAAGUCGGAGUGCUAGUAAUC
This 601-nucleotide ribosomal RNA is filed under the name uncultured bacterium. RNAcentral's name for it is "bacterial SSU rRNA". It matches the Rfam family "Bacterial small subunit ribosomal RNA", at positions 742 to 1343 of the family's 1533-position model. The record is from RNAcentral.